GACGAACGCUGGCGGCGUGCUUAACACAUGCAAGUCGAGCGGUAAGGCCCUUUCGGGGGUACACGAGCGGCGAACGGGUGAGUAACACGUGGGUGACCUGCCCUUAGCUCUGGGAUAAGCCUGGGAAACUGGGUCUAAUACCGGAUAUGACUCCAUGACGCAUGUUGUGGGGUGGAAAGCCUUGUGCGGCUAGGGAUGGGCCCGCGGCCUAUCAGCUUGUUGGUGGGGUGAUGGCCUACCAAGGCGACGACGGGUAGCCGGCCUGAGAGGGCGACCGGCCACACUGGGACUGAGACACGGCCCAGACUCCUACGGGAGGCAGCAGUGGGGAAUCUUGCACAAUGGGCGAAAGCCUGACGCAGCGACGCCGCGUGGGGAGUGACGGCCUCGG
This 391-nucleotide ribosomal RNA is filed under the name uncultured bacterium. RNAcentral's name for it is "bacterial SSU rRNA". It matches the Rfam family "Bacterial small subunit ribosomal RNA", at positions 28 to 420 of the family's 1533-position model. The record is from RNAcentral.